RNAcentral lists this unclassified non-coding RNA (146 nucleotides) under soil metagenome. RNAcentral's name for it is "partial internal transcribed spacer 1". The record is from RNAcentral.
UAAUAAGUGUUUUAUGGCACUUUUUAAAUCCAUAUCCACCUUGUGUGCAAUGUCAGUCGAUCUUCUUUCAUGGAGAUCGACCAAACAUCAACCUUUAUCUUUUAACUCUUUGUCUUAAAAAUAUUAUGAAUAAACAAUUCAAAAUA